CCUCUAGUUGCCAGCAUCGGUUGGGCACUCUAGAGGGGACUGCCGGCGACAAGUCGGAGGAAGUGGGGAUGACGUCAAAUCAUCAUGCCCCUUAUGACCUGGGCUACACACGUGCUACAAUGGGCGGUACAAAGGGCUGCGAACCCGCGAGGGGGAGCGAAUCCCAAAAAGCCGCUCUCAGUUCGGAUUGCAGGCUGCAACUCGCCUGCAUGAAGCCGGAAUCGCUAGUAAUCGCGGAUCAGCAUGCCGCGGUGAAUACGUUCCCGGGCCUU
RNAcentral lists this ribosomal RNA (272 nucleotides) under uncultured Geobacillus sp. Its description in RNAcentral is "partial 16S ribosomal RNA". It matches the Rfam family "Bacterial small subunit ribosomal RNA", at positions 1108 to 1382 of the family's 1533-position model. Lineage: Bacteria; Bacillati; Bacillota; Bacilli; Caryophanales; Anoxybacillaceae. The record is from RNAcentral.